Molecule: long non-coding RNA, 549 nt
Organism: Myodes glareolus (Bank vole)
Lineage: Eukaryota; Metazoa; Chordata; Mammalia; Rodentia; Cricetidae
Source: RefSeq, a predicted model, not a curated record
AAGCUGGGUGGAUUUAUCAGUCUUUUUCAGCGGAAAACUGUGUGGCAAAUGAUAUUGUUGAGCCUUCGACAGCCAAAGACGGGCUCUGAGCAGGGAAGAAAUCUGCGCAGCAGAACACACUGUUUGGGGAAGAAGUCAUCCUCCUAACAGAACACAGGAAAACUGUGCCAGACAUAUGAGGAAGACACUGUCUGGAAGCAUGCUAUCACACAAGGGAAUCUGCAACUAGAGACGGCCAGCUAUUCAAAAGGCAGUGUUUUUCACAGGUCGUGCCUACGUGAGUUUAUCCUCCAUCAGAUGUGUCAAUCUCUGUGGCUGUUGCGGGAUGUUUGAGUUGACUUGGAAGCCAGCUGGGUUGCAGACAGUUAGCAGCGGCUAUGAGACACAGAAAUGGACUGAGGAAUCCCAUAAAAGCUUUCAAUGCUGAUCUGGCUAUUCCGCGACUGGGAGCAUUGACAUGUCAAAGCACUGAGGCCUCAGAGUGAGCGCCAGGCUGUUCCACAGUUGCUGUGUGAGGCCAGAAGGCUCGCAUCUGUAGACCCCAUUCUA